AGAGUUUGAUCAUGGCUCAGAACGAACGCUGGCGGCAUGCCUAACACAUGCAAGUCGAACGAGACCUUCGGGUCUAGUGGCGCACGGGUGCGUAACGCGUGGGAAUCUGCCCUUGGGUUCGGAAUAACAGUUAGAAAUGACUGCUAAUACCGGAUGCUCCCGAGAGGGAAAAGAUUUAUCGCUUGAGGAUGAGGCUGCGCGCCAUCAGCUAGUUGGUAAGGUAAUGGCUUACCAAGGCGACGACGGCUAGGGGACCUGAGAGGGUGACCCCCCACACUGGGACUGAGACACGGCCCAGACUCCUACGGGAGGCAGCAGUGAGGAAUAUUGCUCAAUGGGCGCAAGCCUGAAGCAGCGACGCCGCGUGGAUGAAGAAGGUUUUCGGACUGUAAAAUCCUUUUCUGUGUGACGAGAGUGGACGGUAGCACAGGAAUAAGUCUCGGCUAACUACGUG
Molecule: ribosomal RNA, 454 nt
Filed under: uncultured bacterium
Lineage: Bacteria
Description: bacterial SSU rRNA
Rfam family: Bacterial small subunit ribosomal RNA
Source: RNAcentral